Molecule: unclassified non-coding RNA, 457 nt
Filed under: Hevea brasiliensis (rubber tree)
Lineage: Eukaryota; Viridiplantae; Streptophyta; Magnoliopsida; Malpighiales; Euphorbiaceae
Source: RNAcentral
UAGCUUUGCUGUGCUUGUUCCUUGCUAUGGCUACGGUUGUGCAAAUGUGGAAGAAAAUGCCCAAGAUAAGUUUCUGCAAGCCAUUGGAAACUUGAAGGAUUUAUAUGAUACUGAGAAUAAGAAGUAUAUGGAGCACUGGGUCUCAUCUCUGAGAGAUCACUGAAAUCCAGCAGCGCCUAUGGUGCUGAUCAGAACUUGUUUUCUGCUGCCUAUCCUGAUUCUAUUUUGCAGUGGAUCAAACUUGAGCUGUUAUGGUUACUCAUUACAAGCUUAGAUAUGAACUCUGUAGAAAUAUAAAGAUAUAAUCCUACAACAAAACGAAAAAAAAAAGAGUGUGGAAAUAAUGUAUAUUCGUAGAAAGAUGAGUGAGCUUGAAGGGCUUUAAUAUUUGAGGAGAAGAAACAGCAGACGAUAUAGGUAUCUGCUGCUUCCAAUCCACCUGAUGCAUCUCGAAAAG